CAUGGGAGGGAGGCAGAGAGAGAACUGAGGAUGGCUCCGUGUGGGCCUGCAGGUGCCCCUUGGCAUGAAUAGCCUGGGUGUCACGGAUGGCAGCAGGAGGCAUGCAGGCUCCCAAGCAAAAUGGGGCCCACCCAUGGUUGCCCAUGGACCAAUCAGGACCCACUUCCUCCCUUCUGAAGCCAGUAAAAAUCCUGGACUCAGCCAGACAUGGGCAGAUGUGGGGAUGACCUGCCUGUGGAGAGGAGGUCCUCACUUCGGGUCUCCUGAAACCUGUUCUGCUGCUCAAUAAAGCCCCUUUCUGCCUUGCUCACCC
Long non-coding RNA from Gorilla gorilla gorilla (western lowland gorilla), 313 nucleotides. RefSeq lists it as uncharacterized. The record is from RefSeq and is a predicted model, not a curated record. Lineage: Eukaryota; Metazoa; Chordata; Mammalia; Primates; Hominidae. The transcript has 2 exons.